Molecule: ribosomal RNA, 253 nt
Filed under: uncultured bacterium
Lineage: Bacteria
Description: partial 16S ribosomal RNA
Rfam family: Bacterial small subunit ribosomal RNA
Source: RNAcentral
UACGGGGGGGGCAAGCGUUGUUCGGAAUUACUGGGCGUAAAGGGCUCGUAGGCGGCCAACUAAGUCAGACGUGAAAUCCCUCGGCUUAACCGGGGAACUGCGUCUGAUACUGGAUGGCUAGAGGUUGGGAGAGGGAUGCGGAAUUCCAGGUGUAGCGGUGAAAUGCGUAGAUAUCGGGAGGAACACCAGUGGCGAAGGCGGUUACCUGGAGCUUUGCUGACGCUGAUGCGCGAAAGCGUGGGGAGCGAUCCGG